This 376-nucleotide long non-coding RNA is filed under the name Mytilus galloprovincialis (Mediterranean mussel). Lineage: Eukaryota; Metazoa; Mollusca; Bivalvia; Mytilida; Mytilidae. The record is from RNAcentral.
AAAUUUCAAAAUGAUUUUUUGUUUUUUUUUUAAAUGGAAUGUUUUUGGUAUUUGGUCAAACAUAUAACUAUGUUAACCUCUUCAAUUUCUUAAACAUUUUAAGUGGUAAGCUGUUGUUGAUUCAGAAAUACAUGCCGCCGCUCGCAAAAUUUUAAACUGCAUUAUCUCUAAAACGACAAUAGAUAUCUCAAAUCUGUUAAAUGGUAAAUGAUCUACAGUUAAAGGACAACUAGAAAAAGAAUUGGGACAAUUUGAAAGUUCACCAAGGUCACAAUUAAUCAUCAAAUAUAUGAUGCAAUACCAAACUUGAGAACCGGAAGUCGUAGAGACAUGGGAUUACCACCAUUCAAGUCAGGACCAAUUAACCUUUCAAAUA